CUGAGGGGAGCAGCGAAGGCUAUCAUGUCCUGUUCCCCCUUUCUCAAGAUGCAGCAACACUUGCAAGUUCCUUCCUCCUCUUCUCUCCCCUCUCUCUUUUCUUUUGCUUUCCGAAUUUUAAAUCUCUGACCUAAAAGCAUCUGGUCCCUUUCGAGUUCCCCUGAAUCUUCUGAUUGUCACUCAGACUCCAGACCACAAUUCCAUGUGCAGUCGAGAUGGCGUCUUCUCCCACUACAACUUCUGCAUUCGGUGUGGAACCCGGCUACCUCCGGAUGUGGGAGUUGACCCUAAGAGCAAUACAAGAAGAAAUAUCCUGUGUUCCCUGGAAGAUAGCUCUCCGCUCAAGGCCACCUCUGGGACUGUGCCCUGGACAUACUCAGCUUGACACGCUCUUGUGCUACGUCCUAAGAGGCAAGAGAAUCUUCCACCUAACACUUUGUGUCAUUUCUAGGUCAAACACUUCAGAGCUUCCUUACCAAGUACGCUGAGAUGAAGUUAUUGUUGAAUCUGUUGAAAGAAAUGCUGGCAAUGGGAGGUAGCAUAAGUGAGAAGGAUCCUCCAAACCCUAGCUUGCAGAAAUUUCACCUGGGUCCUUUUUCAGCGAGGAGCAGGGUGUGGCCUCCUCUUGUGUGGCUGCCCGGGAAGCUGUACCUUGGAAGCUGCUCCACAGUGAAACUGCUCUCAGAGGGA
RNAcentral lists this long non-coding RNA (690 nucleotides) under Heterocephalus glaber (naked mole-rat). RNAcentral describes it as "lncRNA (ENSHGLG00000044803.1)". Lineage: Eukaryota; Metazoa; Chordata; Mammalia; Rodentia; Bathyergidae. The record is from RNAcentral.